UACGAAGGGGGCUAGCGUUGCUCGGAAUCACUGGGCGUAAAGCGCACGUAGGCGGGUCUUUAAGUCAGGGGUGAAAUCCCGGAGCUCAACUCCGGAACUGCCUUUGAUACUGAGGAUCUUGAGUUCGAGAGAGGUGAGUGGAACUGCGAGUGUAGAGGUGAAAUUCGUAGAUAUUCGCAAGAACACCAGUGGCGAAGGCGGCUCACUGGCCCGGUACUGACGCUGAGGUGCGAAAGCGUGGGGAGCAAACAGG
RNAcentral lists this ribosomal RNA (253 nucleotides) under uncultured bacterium. RNAcentral describes it as "partial 16S ribosomal RNA". It matches the Rfam family "Bacterial small subunit ribosomal RNA", at positions 524 to 776 of the family's 1533-position model. The record is from RNAcentral.